UGAUGGACGUAUCACGCAGCGAGCGAAAAAACAAGGAAAGCGGCGACGGCGGUGUUGUUGGUGAGAUUUGAACCGAGGAUAAUGUUCUCUUUGGAUAGUCAGCGGGCGUGUAAAUUGUGCAUAUAAAGCCGUUUGGAAGCGAUUCCUCUGGACAGCCUGCGAGGACAGGACGACUACCUGCCUGCUGCCUGGAAGGAGAUAAUCGAUAGCAGGAAAUCGAGGCGUGGAGACACUCGUGAGCAGUUUAGCGCCGAUAAAAGUGGCCAGUGUGGAUAUUUGGAUAUAAGAGGGUGGCUCUGUAAAGUUUGGGACGGAAUAAAAGACAACAGCAUUCGAGUCUUGCGGCGUCGAUCAUCAUUACACACUCGAGAAUUGCACUGGAAGCGGCGUGAAUAGUGAUGCACACACAAAGACAGGGGUCCUAUCUUUCACCGGCAUCUAUUCUACAAGGGAAGGAAGGAAAGAGGUGUGUGUGUGAGA
Long non-coding RNA from Ictalurus punctatus (channel catfish), 480 nucleotides. RefSeq lists it as uncharacterized. The transcript is spliced from 3 exons. NCBI's taxonomy places the organism in Eukaryota, Metazoa, Chordata, Actinopteri, Siluriformes, Ictaluridae. The record is from RefSeq and is a predicted model, not a curated record.